UCAACAACACUGGAAACAUGAAUAGCCCAGGUGAGCAAAGAUAGCGCGUUGACGGGUUCACUGAGCUAACCGACAAAGGUAAAACUGUAGCUGAGGCGGGUCCUACUACGGUCAGCGCCAAACCAGCCCCAAGUAUGCCCGCAACGGUAGUAUAAUUGGAUUUGGAGGGUUUUCGUGUCACGGGAAUGUUUGAGGAGCAGCGGGAGUGCGGGUAGGUGGAACAGAGAGAGACGAUGAAAGGGUCUGUCUGGAUAUGUAAG
Molecule: unclassified non-coding RNA, 260 nt
Filed under: Hevea brasiliensis (rubber tree)
Lineage: Eukaryota; Viridiplantae; Streptophyta; Magnoliopsida; Malpighiales; Euphorbiaceae
Source: RNAcentral